CCUACGGGCGGCAGCAGUGAGGAAUAUUGGUCAAUGGACGAGAGUCUGAACCAGCCAAGUAGCGUGAAGGAUGACUGCCCUAUGGGUUGUAAACUUCUUUUAUAUGGGAAUAAAAUGUUCCACGUGUGGGAUUUUGUAUGUACCAUAUGAAUAAGGAUCGGCUAACUCCGUGCCAGCAGCCGCGGUAAUCCGGAGGAUCCGAGCGUGAUCCGGAUUUAUUGGGUUUAAAGGGAGCGUAGGUGGAGUGUUAAGUCAGUUGUGAAAGUUUGCGGCUCAACCGUAAAAUUGCAGUUGAAACUGGCAGUCUUGAGUACAGGAGAGGUGGGCGGAAUUCGUGGUGUAGCGGUGAAAUGCUUAGAUAUCACGAAGAACUCCGAUUGCGAAGGCAGCUCACUGGACUGUAACUGACGUUGAGGCUCGAAAGCGUGGGGAGCAAACAGGAUUAGAUACCCGGGUAGUC
This 460-nucleotide ribosomal RNA is filed under the name uncultured bacterium. Its description in RNAcentral is "partial 16S ribosomal RNA". It matches the Rfam family "Bacterial small subunit ribosomal RNA", at positions 338 to 795 of the family's 1533-position model. The record is from RNAcentral.